UACGUAGGGGGCAAGCGUUAUCCGGAAUUACUGGGUGUAAAGGGGGCGUAGACGGUAAUGUAAGUCUGGAGUGAAAGGCGGGGGCCCAACCCCCGGACUGCUCUGGAAGCUAUGUUACUAGAGUGCAGGAGAGGUAAGCGGAAUUCCUAGUGUAGCGGUGAAAUGCGUAGAUAUUAGGAGGAGCACCAGUGGCGAAGGCGGCUUACUGGACUGUAACUGACGUUGAGGCUCGAAAGCGUGGGGAGCAAACAGG
Molecule: ribosomal RNA, 253 nt
Filed under: uncultured bacterium
Lineage: Bacteria
Description: partial 16S ribosomal RNA
Rfam family: Bacterial small subunit ribosomal RNA
Source: RNAcentral